CCUACGGGUGGCUGCAGUGGGGAAUAUUGCACAAUGGGCGCAAGCCUGAUGCAGCCAUGCCGCGUGUGUGAAGAAGGCCUUCGGGUUGUAAAGCACUUUCAGCGGGGAGGAAGGCGGUGAGGUUAAUAACCUCAUCGAUUGACGUUACCCGCAGAAGAAGCACCGGCUAACUCCGUGCCAGCAGCCGCGGUAAUACGGAGGGUGCGAGCGUUAAUCGGAAUUACUGGGCGUAAAGCGCACGCAGGCGGUCUGCCAAGUCGGAUGUGAAAUCCCCGGGCUCAACCUGGGAACUGCAUUCGAAACUGGCAGGCUAGAGUCUUGUAGAGGGGGGUAGAAUUCCAGGUGUAGCGGUGAAAUGCGUAGAGAUCUGGAGGAAUACCGGUGGCGAAGGCGGCCCCCUGGACAAAGACUGACGCUCAGGUGCGAAAGCGUGGGGAGCAAACAGGAUUAGAUACCCCGGUAGUC
Molecule: ribosomal RNA, 465 nt
Filed under: uncultured Klebsiella sp.
Lineage: Bacteria; Pseudomonadati; Pseudomonadota; Gammaproteobacteria; Enterobacterales; Enterobacteriaceae
Description: bacterial SSU rRNA
Rfam family: Bacterial small subunit ribosomal RNA
Source: RNAcentral